GCUAAAACAAUUAGAAGGUAUUCGAUGGAUGCCUUGGUACUCGUGUUAAGGACGUUAUACGUUGCGAAAAGUCAUGGGGAGAAACGUAGAAUAACUGUGAUCCAUGAAUUGCCAAAGAGAAAACUCACUUCUAAGAAGUAGAGUCAAAUAGAUUCUAUAUACUUGGUGAACUGAAACAUCUAAGUAACCAAAGGAAAAGAAAUCAAAAGAGAUUCCGUUAAUAGUGGCGAGCGAAUGCGGAAGAAGGCCUUCCUAUUUUAUAGGAGAUGCAUUGUGCACAUUAAUAGAAAAGGUUGGAAAACCUUGCCAUAGAUGGUGAUAGCCCAGUAUAGCAUAUAAGCACUUUGUAGUAGAGUAAGACGGGACACGUGAAAUCUUGUCUGAAGAUAGCAGGACCACCUGCUAAGCCUAAAUAUAACCGAGUGACCGAUAGUGAACAAGUACCGUGAGGGAAAGGUGAAAAGAACCCAGAAAUGGGAGUGAAAAGAUCCUGAAAUUGAAUACUUACAAGCAGUCGGAGUGGGUGUAAACCUAUGACGGCGUACCUUUUGCAUAAUGGGUCAGCGACUUCGUGUACGCAGCAAGCUUAAUCCGGUAGGAAUAGGCGUAGUGAAAACGAGUUUGAAAAAUAGCGUUAAGUUGCGUGUACGAGACCCGAAACUGAGUGAUCUAUUCAUGAGCAGGUUGAAGGCAUGGUAAUAUAUGCUGGAGGACCGAACCCACGUCUGUGGAAAAAUACGGGGAUGACUUGUGAAUAGGAGUGAAAGGCUAAUCAAACUCAGAGAUAGCUGGUUUUCUGCGAAAUCUAUUUAGGUAGAGCGUUAUGUAAUUCAUCAUUAGGGGUAAAGCACUCAAUGGGUACUUGGGGGGCGUAAAGCUACUUCAGGCCCAAGGAAACUCUGAAUACUAAUGAUGUUAUCAUAGCAGGCAGACUACGGGUGAUAAGAUCCGUGGUCGAGAGGGAAACAGCCCAGACCAUAAGCUAAGGUCCUUAAGUGAUUACUAAGUGGGAAAGGAAGUUAAAAGGCCAUAACAGUCAGGAGGUGGGCUUGGAAGCAGCCAUCCUUUAAAGAAAGCGUAACAGCUCACUGAUCUAAUAGCUUUUUUGCGCCGAAAAUGUAACGGGGCUUAAGUAAUCCACCGAAGCUAUGGAAGAUACUAUGUAUCUUGGUAGCAGAACGUUCUGUAGGUCGUUGAAGAUAAAACGUCAGUUUUGUUGGAGAUAUCAGAAGUGAGAAUGCUGACAUGAGUAGCGACAAGCAAUGUGGAAAUCAUUGCCACCGCAAGUUCAAGGGUUUCUGCGGAAGGUUCGUCCGCGCAGAGUGAAUCGGUCCCUAAUAAAAAGACGAAAGUCGUAUUAGAUGGGGAUCCCCAGGGAAUUUAUUUUCUGGGGUGCAUUAAUGAUGACGGAUUGUUUUUAUAUGUGUCUGUUUAACGGAUUAUAGUAGCGUAUAAAGCGAUUCCAGGAAAUAGUCUUAAUGUUAUAAACCGUACCCUAAACCGACACAGGUGAACGAGUAUAAAUGUACUAAGGUGAGUGAGAGAACAAUCUUGAAGGAACUCGGCAAAAUGGCCUCGUAACUUCGGAAGAAGAGGUACUAAUAUUAUCUAUUUAUUAGAUUUUAUUAGUGGCACAUAAUAGGGGGAAGCGACUGUUUAUUAAAAACACAGGACUCUGCUAAACCGCAAGGUGAUGUAUAGGGUCUGACACCUGCCCGGUGUUGGAAGGUUAAUGUGAUUUGUUAACGCAAAGAUCUUAAGCCCCAAUAAACGGCAGCCGUAGCUAUAACGGUUCUAAGGUAGCGAAAUUCCUUGUCGGGUAAGUUCCGACGUGCAUGAAUGGUGUAACGACUUCCCUACUGUCUCCAAGAUUGACUCAGCGAAAUUGAAUUUUCCGUGCAGAUGCGGAAUACCAAUGGUUAGACGGAAAGACCCCGUGCACCUUUACUACAUCUUUACAGUGCUAGAGAAGAUAUAAUGUGUAGAAUAGGUGGGAGCUUAUGAUACCUCGGCGCUAGCCGAUUGUGGAGGCAUCAAUGAAAUACCACCCUUUAUGUUUUCUAGAGCUAACUAUGUUAUUUAUAUGAAUAACUGGGACAUUGUAUGGUUGGUAGUUUGACUGGGGCGGUCACCUCCCAAAGAAUAACGGAGGUGCGCAAAGGUGGGCUCAAGUUGGUUGGAAACCAACUGGUGAGUGUAAUGGCAUAAGCCCGCUUGACUGUGACACCUACAAGUGAAGCAGAGACGAAAGUCGGCCAUAGUGAUCCGGUGGCGCUGUGUGGAAAGGCCAUCGCUCAACGGAUAAAAGGUACGCCGGGGAUAACAGGCUAAUAACUCCCAAGAGCCCAAAUCGACGGAGUUGUUUGGCACCUCGAUGUCGGCUCAUCACAUCCUGGAGCUGUAGAAGGUUCCAAGGGUUUGGCUGUUCGCCAAUUAAAGUGGUACGUGAGCUGGGUUUAGAACGUCGUGAGACAGUUCGGUCCCUAUCUGCCAUUGGUGCUGGAGAAUUGAGAGGAUCCGACUCUAGUACGAGAGGAUUGAGGAGGAUAUACCAAUGGUGUACCGAUUGUUGCGCCAGCAGCAUAGUCGGGUAGCUAAGUAUGGACAGAAUAACCGCUGAAAGCAUAUAAGCGGGAAUUCCACCUCAAAACAAGUUCUCCUCGAGAGCCGUGAUAGACUAUCACGUUAAUAGGUCAAAAGUGUAAACAUGGUGACAUGCAGCUAAUUGAUACUAAUAUCUCGAAUGUUUUUGUUGUUUUAGC
RNAcentral lists this ribosomal RNA (2762 nucleotides) under Histiona aroides. Its description in RNAcentral is "LSU rRNA". It matches the Rfam family "Bacterial large subunit ribosomal RNA". Lineage: Eukaryota; Jakobea; Jakobida; Histionidae. The record is from RNAcentral.